AUUCAUCUGACGAGUCGUAAACAAGACAAGACACGCGUCCUGUAU
RNAcentral lists this non-coding RNA (45 nucleotides) under Schistosoma mansoni. The record is from RNAcentral. Lineage: Eukaryota; Metazoa; Platyhelminthes; Trematoda; Strigeidida; Schistosomatidae.